This 426-nucleotide ribosomal RNA is filed under the name uncultured bacterium. Its description in RNAcentral is "partial 16S ribosomal RNA". It matches the Rfam family "Bacterial small subunit ribosomal RNA", at positions 354 to 796 of the family's 1533-position model. The record is from RNAcentral.
GUGAGGAAUUUUCCGCAAUGUGCGAAAGCCUGACGGAGCAAUGCCGCGUGAAGGAUGAAGGCCUAUGGGUUGUAAACUUCUUUUCUCAGAAAAGAAUUAUGACGGUAUCUGAGGAAUAAGCAUCGGCUAACUCUGUGCCAGCAGCCGCGGUAAGACAGAGGAUGCAAGCGUUAUCCGGAAUGAUUGGGCGUAAAGCGUCUGUAGGUUGUUUAAAAAGUAUUCUGUCAAAGAUUAGGGCUUAACCCUAGAUAGGCAGAAUAAACUUUUAAGCUAGAGUUUGGUAGAGGCAGAGGGAAUUCCCGGUGGAGCGGUGAAAUGCGUAGAUAUCGGGAGGAACACCAAAGGCGAAGGCACUCUGCUGGGCCAAUACUAACACUGAGAGACGAAAGCGAGGGGAGCAAAUGGGAUUAGAUACCCCGGUAGUCC